Molecule: ribosomal RNA, 927 nt
Filed under: uncultured bacterium
Lineage: Bacteria
Description: bacterial SSU rRNA
Rfam family: Bacterial small subunit ribosomal RNA
Source: RNAcentral
AGUCGAGCGCGAAAGUGACUUCGGUCGCGAGUAGAGCGGCGAACGGGUGAGUAACACGUGGAUAACCUGCCUGGAAGUGGGGAACAACUCAGGGAAACUUGAGCUAAUACCGCAUACGUUGGCCUCGCGAGAGCGGAGUCAACAAAGGUGGCCUCUUCUUGAAAGCUAUCGCUUCCAGAGGGAUCCGCGUCUGAUUAGCUAGUUGGUGAGGUAAUGGCUCACCAAGGCGACGAUCAGUAGCCGGCCUGAGAGGGUGAUCGGCCACACUGGAACUGAGACACGGUCCAGACUCCUACGGGAGGCAGCAGUGGGGAAUAUUGGACAAUGGGCGCAAGCCUGAUCCAGCAACGCCGCGUGGAGGAUGAAGGCCUUCGGGUUGUAAACUCCUGUCAGGUGGGACGAAAAGACUUCGGUCAAUAUCCGGAGUCCGUGACGGUACCACCGGAGGAAGCCCCGGCUAACUCCGUGCCAGCAGCCGCGGUAAUACGGAGGGGGCAAGCGUUAUUCGGAAUUAUUGGGCGUAAAGGGCGCGUAGGCGGCAUGAUAAGUCAGUGGUGAAAUCCCUCGGCUCAACCGAGGAACUGCCUCUGAAACUGUCUUGCUUGAGGCCGGGAGAGGGUAGUGGAAUUCCCAGUGUAGCGGUGAAAUGCGUAGAUAUUGGGAGGAACACCGGUGGCGAAGGCGGCUACCUGGACCGGUUCUGACGCUGAGGCGCGAAAGUGUGGGGAGCAAACAGGAUUAGAUACCCUGGUAGUCCACACUGUAAACGAUGAGCACUCGGUGCCGCGGGUGUCGACCCCUGCGGUGCCUUAGGAAACCCGUUAAGUGCUCCGCCUGGGGAGUACGGUCGCAAGGCUGAAACUCAAAGGAAUUGACGGGGGCCCGCACAAGCGGUGGAGCAUGUGGUUUAAUUCGAUGCAACGCGCA